GAUGAACGCUGGCGGCGUGCUUAACACAUGCAAGUCGAACGAAGCACUUUAACCUGAUUCUUCGGAUGAAGGUUUUUGUGACUGAGUGGCGGACGGGUGAGUAACGCGUGGGUAACCUGCCUCAUACAGGGGGAUAACAGUUAGAAAUGACUGCUAAUACCGCAUACGACCACAGAGCCGCAUGGCUCGGUGGGAAAAACUCCGGUGGUAUGAGAUGGACCCGCGUCUGAUUAGGUAGUUGGUGGGGUAACGGCCUACCAAGCCAACGAUCAGUAGCCGACCUGAGAGGGUGACCGGCCACAUUGGGACUGAGACACGGCCCAAACUCCUACGGGAGGCAGCAGUGGGGAAUAUUGCACAAUGGGGGAAACCCUGAUGCAGCGACGCCGCGUGAGCGAAGAAGUAUUUCGGUAUGUAAAGCUCUAUCAGCAGGGAAGAAAAUGACGGUACCUGACUAAGAAGCACCGGCUAAAUACGUG
RNAcentral lists this ribosomal RNA (479 nucleotides) under uncultured bacterium. RNAcentral's name for it is "partial 16S ribosomal RNA". It matches the Rfam family "Bacterial small subunit ribosomal RNA", at positions 28 to 507 of the family's 1533-position model. The record is from RNAcentral.